RNAcentral lists this unclassified non-coding RNA (269 nucleotides) under Hevea brasiliensis (rubber tree). Lineage: Eukaryota; Viridiplantae; Streptophyta; Magnoliopsida; Malpighiales; Euphorbiaceae. The record is from RNAcentral.
GAAGAAUAUUGUUGGUAGUUUGAUAGGGAUUGUAUUGAAUUUAUAAAUUGUUUUGGGUAGUAUAUUUAUUUUUAUUAUAUUGAUUUUUUUAAUUUAUGAAUAUGGUAUAUUUUUUUAUUUAUUAGUGUUUUUUUUGAUUUUUUUUAUUAGUGUUUUAUAGUUUUUUAUAUAUAGGUUUUUAGUUUUUUUAGGUAGAUAUAUUUUUAAGUAUUUUAUUUUUUUUGUUGUAAUGGUGAAUGGAAUUGUUUUUUUAAUUUUUUUUUUAAAUU